AGGUAGGAACUGCAGAAAUGUUGCUUCAAAUGCGAAGCACUAGGGUUGCCUCUGUCGUGUCAGGACAGUAACUGUGGAAUGAAGCCAAGCAAACCCCUUCCCCACCAUGGGUGAGCCCUGGAAUCCAUUCAGCUACUUACCCGAUACCCACGGGGACAUUAAGAGAAUCAGAUGUAUAACGCAUACCACAGUCCAAUGCAUAUCCACAUGAACUGACAGUCAUAUGCAUGGCUGCAAUAAUUACAAACCAUGGAGCCUCUUGAAGUUCAUUUGUUUGGUGUGGUUUAAACCUAUGGAGGUCAAGUGGUUAUUUUAUUUGGCUUUGACAAUUACUGGGGGUAACCUCUAAUCUACUAAUUUCUGGCCUGGCUACUUCGCAGUGGUGUACCCCAAAUACUUGCUGUUUCUUCUGGCCAUGUGCUCAUGAUCCAUCUCCUUUCAUGGCAGCUUAUACCUCCCCCUCUCUUGUCCUUCCUCCUCUCUCCUACUCUGCAACCCCCAAAUCAAAACACACCUACCUCUAAUCCAGUAAUUGGCUGUAGCCAUUUUUAUUCAACCAAUAGUUUUAAAUUAAGGAGCAAGGUUUGUACAACAAAAGUUGGUAACCAUGAGAAUUCACUCACAGGCAAGUAGAUCUUUGGGUAUAGAAUUUAGCAUUAUAACCCACAGCAACACACCAAACCUCAACAGUCAUGAUCCUCUUCAUUAUAAACGCUUACAACUAACAAGAUAGGAUAUCAGUGGUGAUAUGAUAGAUUGUAUUCUGUGGAUGUAGAUUACCAUUCAUUCUAUUUAAAAGAAAUCUGAGGGCUGGGGAGCUCAAUUAGUAAAAUGCUUGCUUUGUAACCAUUAGGACCUGAGUUUGGAUCCCUAGCCCCACGUGUAAAGCCAGAAGGUUGGCAGCAUGGCCCCCGUCAUCCCAGCACUGGGGGUGGGUGGGGGAGGUGGGGAGACAGACACAGGCAUAUCCCUGGGGUUUGCUGACCAGCUAGUCUAACCAAUGAGAAAGCAGGUCUCAAAAAAUUAGGUGGAGAGUGACUGAGGAAGAUACAUGACAUCACAUGACAUCAACAUCAGAUCUUCACAUUCACACACACAGCUCCUUCCCAGCUGCUGCUUUGGUUACCUCGUUCUGCUCUGUGUACUCAGAGGAUGAAAACCUUACUCUCAGAUGAGACCUGAUAGGCUUACACCGGCUAGCAUAAUGUCUUCUCCCCGCUACCCUAAAUUAGUAUAAGAAUGGACAUAGCACCCU
Molecule: long non-coding RNA, 1255 nt
Filed under: Mus musculus (house mouse)
Lineage: Eukaryota; Metazoa; Chordata; Mammalia; Rodentia; Muridae
Description: long non-coding RNA chr2:117236269-117237524
Source: RNAcentral